This 496-nucleotide ribosomal RNA is filed under the name uncultured bacterium. RNAcentral describes it as "partial 16S ribosomal RNA". It matches the Rfam family "Bacterial small subunit ribosomal RNA", at positions 28 to 507 of the family's 1533-position model. The record is from RNAcentral.
GAUGAACGCUGGCGGCGUGCCUAAUACAUGCAAGUCGAGCGAACAGACGAGGAGCUUGCUCCUCUGACGUUAGCGGCGGACGGGUGAGUAACACGUGGAUAACCUACCUAUAAGACUGGGAUAACUUCGGGAAACCGGAGCUAAUACCGGAUAAUAUAUUGAACCGCAUGGUUCAAUAGUGAAAGACGGUUUUGCUGUCACUUAUAGAUGAUCCGCGCCGCAUUAGCUAGUUGGUAAGGUAACGGCUUACCAAGGCAACGAUGCGUAGCCGACCUGAGAGGGUGAUCGGCCACACUGGAACUGAGACACGGUCCAGACUCCUACGGGAGGCAGCAGUAGGGAAUCUUCCGCAAUGGGCGAAAGCUUGACGGAGCAACGCCGCGUGAGUGAUGAAGGUCUUCGGAUCGUAAAACUCUGUUAUUAGGGAAGAACAAAUGUGUAAGUAACUAUGCACGUCUUGACGGUACCUAAUCAGAAAGCCACGGCUAACUACGUG